RNAcentral lists this ribosomal RNA (253 nucleotides) under uncultured Acidobacteriota bacterium. RNAcentral's name for it is "uncultured Acidobacteria bacterium partial 16S ribosomal RNA". It matches the Rfam family "Bacterial small subunit ribosomal RNA", at positions 524 to 776 of the family's 1533-position model. Lineage: Bacteria; Pseudomonadati; Acidobacteriota. The record is from RNAcentral.
UACGGGGGGGGCAAGCGUUGUUCGGAAUUACUGGGCGUAAAGGGCUUGUAGGUGGCCAACUAAGUCAGACGUGAAAUCCCCAGGCUUAACCUGGGAACUGCGUCUGAUACUGGCUGGCUUGAAUUCGGGAGAGGGAUGCAGAAUUCCAGGUGUAGCGGUGAAAUGCGUAGAUAUCUGGAGGAAUACCGGUGGCGAAGGCGGCAUCCUGGACCGAGAUUGACACUGAAAAGCGAAAGCUAGGGGAGCAAACGGG